RNAcentral lists this ribosomal RNA (497 nucleotides) under uncultured bacterium. Its description in RNAcentral is "partial 16S ribosomal RNA". It matches the Rfam family "Bacterial small subunit ribosomal RNA", at positions 28 to 507 of the family's 1533-position model. The record is from RNAcentral.
GAUGAACGCUGGCGGCGUGCCUAAUACAUGCAAGUCGAGCGAACGGACGAGAAGCUUGCUUCUCUGAUGUUAGCGGCGGACGGGUGAGUAACACGUGGAUAACCUACCUAUAAGACUGGGAUAACUUCGGGAAACCGUAGCUAAUACCGGAUAAUAUUUUGAACCGCAUGGUUCAAAAGUGAAAGACGGUCUUGCUGUCACUUAUAGAUGGAUCCGCGCUGCUUUAGCUAGUUGGUAAGGUAACGGCUUACCAAGGCAACGAUGCAUAGCCGACCUGAGAGGGUGAUCGGCCACACUGGAACUGAGACACGGUCCAGACUCCUACGGGAGGCAGCAGUAGGGAAUCUUCCGCAAUGGGCGAAAGCCUGACGGAGCAACGCCGCGUGAGUGAUGAAGGUCUUCGGAUCGUAAAACUCUGUUAUUAGGGAAGAACAUAUGUGUAAGUAACUGUGCACAUCUUGACGGUACCUAAUCAGAAAGCCACGGCUAACUACGUG